This 254-nucleotide ribosomal RNA is filed under the name uncultured bacterium. RNAcentral's name for it is "partial 16S ribosomal RNA". It matches the Rfam family "Bacterial small subunit ribosomal RNA", at positions 524 to 776 of the family's 1533-position model. The record is from RNAcentral.
UACGUAGGGUCCGAGCGUUGUCCGGAUUUAUUGGGCGUAAAGAGCUCGUAGGCGGUUCCGUAAGUCAGAUGUGAAAACUCAGGGCUCAACCCGGAGACGCCAUCUGAUACUGCGGUGACUGGAGUCUGGUAGGGGAACACGGAAUUCCUGGUGUAGCGGUGAAAUGCGCAGAUAUCAGGAGGAACACCGAUGGCGAAGGCAGUGUUCUGGGCCAGUACUGGCGCUGAGGAGCGAAAGCGUGGGGAGCAAACAGG